This 467-nucleotide ribosomal RNA is filed under the name uncultured bacterium. RNAcentral's name for it is "partial 16S ribosomal RNA". It matches the Rfam family "Bacterial small subunit ribosomal RNA", at positions 28 to 506 of the family's 1533-position model. The record is from RNAcentral.
GACGAACGCUGGCGGCGUGCUUAACACAUGCAAGUCGAACGGAAAGGCCCAAGCUUGCUUGGGUACUCGAGUGGCGAACGGGUGAGUAACACGUGGGUGACCUGCCCUGCACUUCGGGAUAAGUCUGGGAAACUGGGUCUAAUACCGGAUAGGACGAUGGUUUGGAUGCCAUUGUGGAAAGUUUUUUAGGUGUAGGACGAGCACGGGGCCUAUCGUCUUGUUGGUGGGGUAAUGGCCUACCAAGGCGUCGACGGGUAGCCGGCCUGGCAGGGUGUACGGCCACAUUGGGACUGAGGUACGGCCCAGACGCCUACGGGAGGCAACAGGGGGGAAUAUUGCACAAUGGGCGCGAGCCAGAUGCGGCGACGCCGGGUGGGGGAUGACGGGCUUCAGGUUGGAAACUCCUUUCGCAAGGGACGAAGCGUUUUUGUGACGGAACCUGGAGAAGAAGCACCGGCUAACUACUU